RNAcentral lists this long non-coding RNA (386 nucleotides) under Capsella rubella. RNAcentral describes it as "long non-coding RNA (CRUB_LNC002920)". Lineage: Eukaryota; Viridiplantae; Streptophyta; Magnoliopsida; Brassicales; Brassicaceae. The record is from RNAcentral.
GCAAAUAAAUUAUAUGCCAAAAAAAUAACAUAAAUAUUACGAGGAAAAACGAUAGUCAGCUAGACGAAGUAUAACAUAGUAUAUGACUACACAUCUCAAGUCUCAACUAUAGAAAUAUACAGCCAACUACAUAAACUAUAUCUAUUGCAUGCACACAUAUAUCAACUUAAUGUCGACAUGGGAUCAACAUCACAAUCAUUUUAUUUCGGAAUCCGGUGUUGACCAUCGUUGCCGAUAUUGACCCAAAAAACAUUCAAAAUUUUUUUUUUUUUUUUUUAAUUUUCAAAAUAUGAAAGAAAUAUUAUUCUAUUUAAUCUCAUAUAUGUUAUAUAAUGACAAAACACAUUCUAAUACAUUUUUCUUAUAAUUCUUUAAAUUUUUUUUUU